This 427-nucleotide ribosomal RNA is filed under the name uncultured bacterium. Its description in RNAcentral is "partial 16S ribosomal RNA". It matches the Rfam family "Bacterial small subunit ribosomal RNA", at positions 355 to 774 of the family's 1533-position model. The record is from RNAcentral.
UAGGGAAUCUUCGGCAAUGGACGAAAGUCUGACCGAGCAACGCCGCGUGAGUGAAGAAGGUUUUCGGAUCGUAAAACUCUGUUGGUAGAGAAGAACGUUGGUGAGAGUGGAAAGCUCAUCAAGUGACGGUAACUACCCAGAAAGGGACGGCUAACUACGUGCCAGCAGCCGCGGUAAUACGUAGGUCCCGAGCGUUGUACGGAUUUAUUGGGCGUAAAGCGAGCGCAGGUGGUUUAUUAAGUCUGGUGUAAAAGGCAGUGGCUCAACCAUUGUAUGCAUUGGAAACUUGUAGACUUGAGUGCAGGAGAGGAGAGUGGAAUUCCAUGUGUAGCGGUGAAAUGCGUAGAUAUAUGGAGGAACACCGGUGGCGAAAGCGGCUCUCUGGCCUGUAACUGACACUGAGGCUCGAAAGCGUGGGGAGCAAACA